AAACUUUGCGUCUGUGGUUGAAAGCCGACGCCAGUCGCAGGCAAAACGGCCCACGUAAGCAGCGCCUUUGGCGCGGUGAGCAUAGUGCGGCUAGACGUAAGCCCGUCCUUCCGAAAAAGGAAGAGAGGAGUAAGAGUGGCGUAAUGCCGCGGGGCUCCCAGGCGGCGAAUGUGGGGGAAAAGACCAGGUCAGGCAAAUCUU
RNAcentral lists this non-coding RNA (201 nucleotides) under Christensenella hongkongensis. Its description in RNAcentral is "Catabacter hongkongensis raiA RNA". It matches the Rfam family "raiA RNA". Lineage: Bacteria; Bacillati; Bacillota; Clostridia; Christensenellales; Christensenellaceae. The record is from Rfam by way of RNAcentral.